GGUAGGCAGUGAUGUCUUACAGUGAUAUGUGAUCAUGUUGCCUGAACUGGAAUCCAUCUUUAAACUGGUGCUUUUCCAUUUAGAAGGAGGGGUGGGA
Chelonoidis abingdonii (Abingdon island giant tortoise) is the source of this 97-nucleotide non-coding RNA. NCBI's taxonomy places the organism in Eukaryota, Metazoa, Chordata, Testudines, Testudinidae. The record is from RefSeq and is a predicted model, not a curated record.